UUGCUAUUAGAUGAGCCUAUAUUAGAUUAGCUAGUUGGUAGGGUAAUGGCCUACCAAGGCUAUGAUCUAUAGCUGAUCUGAGAGGAUGAUCAGCCACACUGGAACUGAGAUACGGUCCAGACUCCUACGGGAGGCAGCAGUGGGGAAUAUUGGACAAUGAGCGGAAGCUUGAUCCAGCUAUGCCGCAUGAGUGAAGAAGGCCUUUGGGUUGUAAAGCUCUUUCAGUGAGGAAGAUAAUGACGGUACUCACAGAAGAAGUCCUGGCUAACUCCGUGCCAGCAGCCGCGGUAAU
Molecule: ribosomal RNA, 292 nt
Filed under: Wolbachia endosymbiont of Dirofilaria immitis
Lineage: Bacteria; Pseudomonadati; Pseudomonadota; Alphaproteobacteria; Rickettsiales; Anaplasmataceae
Description: partial 16S ribosomal RNA
Rfam family: Bacterial small subunit ribosomal RNA
Source: RNAcentral